RNAcentral lists this ribosomal RNA (480 nucleotides) under Veillonella dispar. Its description in RNAcentral is "bacterial SSU rRNA". It matches the Rfam family "Bacterial small subunit ribosomal RNA", at positions 28 to 478 of the family's 1533-position model. The record is from RNAcentral. Lineage: Bacteria; Bacillati; Bacillota; Negativicutes; Veillonellales; Veillonellaceae.
GACGAACGCUGGCGGCGUGCUUAACACAUGCAAGUCGAACGAAGAGCGAUGGAAGCUUGCUUCUAUCAAUCUUAGUGGCGAACGGGUGAGUAACGCGUAAUCAACCUGCCCUUCAGAGGGGGACAACAGUUGGAAACGACUGCUAAUACCGCAUACGAUCUGACCUCGGCAUCGAGGAUGGAUGAAAGGUGGCCUCUAUUUAUAAGCUAUCACUGAAGGAGGGGAUUGCGUCUGAUUAGCUAGUUGGAGGGGUAACGGCCCACCAAGGCGAUGAUCAGUAGCCGGUCUGAGAGGAUGAACGGCCACAUUGGGACUGAGACACGGCCCAGACUCCUACGGGAGGCAGCAGUGGGGAAUCUUCCGCAAUGGACGAAAGUCUGACGGAGCAACGCCGCGUGAGUGAUGACGGCCUUCGGGUUGUAAAGCUCUGUUAAUCGGGACGAAAGGCCUUCUUGCGAAUAGUUAGAAGGAUGACGGUAC